This 685-nucleotide long non-coding RNA is filed under the name Numida meleagris (helmeted guineafowl). Its description in RNAcentral is "lncRNA (ENSNMEG00000002965.1)". The record is from RNAcentral. Lineage: Eukaryota; Metazoa; Chordata; Aves; Galliformes; Numididae.
GGUCCCGGUGUCGUCACACUGGUGUCACACUGUCACGCUAUGGGUCCCGGUGUCACACUGGGUGCUAUGGGUCCCGGUGUCACGCUGUGAUUCUAUGGGUCCCGGUGUCACACUGUCACGCUAUGGGUCUUGGUGCCACAUUGGGGCGCUGUGGGUCCCGGUGUCACACUGGUGUCACACUGUCACGCUAUGGGUCCCGGUGUCACACUGGGUGCUAUGGGUCCCAGUGUCAUCAUCAGUGUCACACUGGGGCACUAUGGGUCCCGGUGUCACGCUGUGAUUCUAUGGGUCCCAGUGUCACACUGUCACGCUAUGGGUCUUGGUGCCACAUUGGGGCGCUGUGGGUCCCAGUGUCACAUCGGUGUCACGCUGUGAUUCUAUGGGUCCCGGAGUCACACUGGGGCACUAUGGGUCUCAGUGUCACACCAAUGUCACAUUGGGGCGCUGUGGGUCCCGGUGUCACACUGUCACGCUAUGGGUCCUGGUGUCACAUUGGUGUCACACUGUGAUCCUAUGGGUCCUGGAGUCACACUUCAGUGCUGUGGGUCCUGGUGUCAUCACACUGGUGUCACACUGCGAUUCUAUGGGUCUCAGUGUCACGCUGUGAUUCUAUGGGUCCUGGUGUCACACUGGGCGCUGUGGGUCCCAGUGUCACACUGUGAUUCUAUGGGUCCCACUGUCUCCU